Molecule: long non-coding RNA, 157 nt
Organism: Triticum dicoccoides
Lineage: Eukaryota; Viridiplantae; Streptophyta; Magnoliopsida; Poales; Poaceae
Exons: 3
Source: RefSeq, a predicted model, not a curated record
CUGACAUCGUAUCCCCUCCUCUCCAACAGUUAGCAGAGCUGUGAUCUUGUUGUAUCAGGAAUUCAGGAGGUCUGAUAAAUUGUAAUUUCUCUCCAACUAGGCAUUCCCCUUUGAUCUUAGUGCCAUGAACAUGUUCUUACCGGUGGUCAGGUCUGCU